AUAUCAAUAAGCGGAGGAAAAGAAACUAACAAGGAUUCCCCUAGUAACGGCGAGUGAAGCGGGAACAGCUCAAAUUUGAAAUCUCACGGGUCCGCCCGUGCGAAUUGUAGUUUAGAGAAACGUCUUGGGGAGGGGCGCGGGCAUAAGUCCUUUGGAAUGAGGCAUCAUAGAGGGUGAGAAUCCCGUCUUUGGUCCGAUGCCCCCUCCUAUGUCAUACGUUUUCCACGAGUCGGUUUGUUUGGGAAUGCAGACCAAAAUGGGUGGUAAAUACCAUCUAAAGCUAAAUAUUGGCGAGAGACCGAUAGCGCACAAGUA
RNAcentral lists this ribosomal RNA (315 nucleotides) under uncultured Rhizophlyctidales. RNAcentral's name for it is "partial large subunit ribosomal RNA". It matches the Rfam family "Eukaryotic large subunit ribosomal RNA", at positions 40 to 350 of the family's 3401-position model. The record is from RNAcentral. Lineage: Eukaryota; Fungi; Chytridiomycota; Chytridiomycetes; Rhizophlyctidales.